Molecule: long non-coding RNA, 1039 nt
Organism: Haemorhous mexicanus (house finch)
Lineage: Eukaryota; Metazoa; Chordata; Aves; Passeriformes; Fringillidae
Exons: 2
Source: RefSeq, a predicted model, not a curated record
CAUAUUAGAAUAUUGGCUUUUUGCAAAUAUUUAGAUGGAUUCUGUAUCUAUAUUAGAGUAACUUUGCUAUAAAAAUUUAGGCUUUUUUUUGUUGUUAACUAAGCCUAGACAUAGUAGUGAAAUAGCUGCUAUAGUAUGCCUGUGUUAAACUGCCUGCUUGGUUGGGAUAACAUUCAAUGAACAUAUGAUGGAGCCCCUGCUGCUGACAUGCCAAUUAUCAGCACCCACUGUCUGUAGAAAACAUAGACCAAAGUCCAAACAGGAGGUGAUAACAAGGGCGGACUCAAACCACAGCCACGAAAGGCACAUGCUCUGAAAAGGUGGACCCGAGGAGCAGCCAUGCUAAACAAUUCUUGGAACAUGUAAACUAGUUUGGGGAAAAGUUUAAAUAUGCAUAAUUGUUUAUGACUGUGCAGUAGGCUGAUGCAAUAGAAAGGGUAUGUAAAGGACAUCUCUGAAAUAGCAGCUGUGCUCUUGGCUGAAUGCAGAGCACCCACCGCAAAAACUUUGCUUUAUUCUCUUUGUCUCUUAUUGUCCUUUAUUCAACUUUUAAACUUUUACAGGAGGGUGAACCUCGUUUUUCACAAUGGGGAUAAAAUGGGGCAUGGGGUGCUCAAAUGCCUCAAGAAAGCACCAAAACAACCCAAGCACCACAUUCCCCUCAUGCCUGGGCUGGCAGCCCAGCAGCUCAAGUAGAAGAGUCUUCCAGGAGCUCAGGGGGAGCAGCAGCCCUUGUGCUGAGGCACAGCCUGUGGAGAAAGGGGUGUCCCUGCUGCUGUCACAGCUGGCCCAGGACCGACAGGACCACCUGGAGAGCUGUGCAGGGAGCAGGCAGGAGACACGAGGUGCAGAAGGGACCUCCUUGCUUCCUGAACAUCUCAGAGAGGAGCCAGGCUGCAGCUGGAUGCAGUCCUAGACUAGUCAAUAGUUUAUGUUUAAAGGAUAGUAUAGGUGUAACUGAGCCUUUAUACAACUGUGUUCCAUAGGAUGAAAGAUAUAUUUAUAGAAAAAUAAAGAGUUUAUUAUGAUCACCAUGAAA